Molecule: long non-coding RNA, 1460 nt
Organism: Engraulis encrasicolus (European anchovy)
Lineage: Eukaryota; Metazoa; Chordata; Actinopteri; Clupeiformes; Engraulidae
Exons: 5
Source: RefSeq, a predicted model, not a curated record
CCGUGUUUCAAUAAUAAAGUAUGUUCUUCUCUGACCUGAGAUGAGUUCCUCUGGACCUGCCUAGUCUUCGGACGCGCCCCCAGUCAGCAGCGCGCGCUGCGCAAACUCGUUAGCAUUAGCUUGGCUCAGCUUUGUGGAUGGACGCAAAAGGUGCCUUAAGUUAGAAGUGACCAAAUCCUUCCAUGUGUUCCCUAUUAAAUCUCCCCUGCAUGACUAGUAAACCGAUCACAAAGUUGUUGCACAAAAUGAAACCUGUCGAUUUCCUACUAGAUAAAGAAAUGGCACUGUAAUGAAAGGCGUAGUAAUACAUUUGGAGCACUUCGACUUCGACGCAUUAAUAUCUUCACUCCUAGUUCCCCCCUUUCCCCCUCCCCCCUCCCCUCCCCAAAGCCUCCUCGUGAGCCACUCACUUCCGUCAAUACAACCAACCUGGCCGUACACCCUAGCCAGCUGAUAGCAAUGAGCAUCCAGGGACAGUGACAUUUUAGUGUUGGUGGUGAACAAACAACCAUGCCAAGAAAAUGUUGUUUGCGAGGUUGCGGCAACAAGUGGAGAACGUACACUCCAAUAAUGUUCCACAGGAUCCCCAAGACCACAAACGGCGGAAGGUUUGGUUUACAGAACAUGGACCCAGCAACACCGCCGGAGGUCUGGAAGAGCUAGCAGUUUGCUCUGAACAAUUUGCCGACAACGACUACAACAUAUCUGGAUAACGACUGAAGGAUGCAGCAACACAAUCGGAGCAGCGAAUACGGAUACAGUCGAGUGGAACACAGAAUAUUGUCAGUUUGAUGAAGACCACCAGGACCUGCUCGAAGCAGAGGACGCCUAUACGGAGGGUCCUCUUCAUUCAACCCCCUAGAAACAGACAUCUGUGAAACUGGCUCCCACAUGGACCAAGCCACUGGAGAGGGCGUCUUCAUCCACCACCAUGGCCACCCAUAGUCCAAGAAGUCUUCACUAUGAGGAUCCACACCUCACUGGAGCUACUGCGAUGGACAAGUGCCACCUGCCAUUGUUGUUGGACGCAAGCAUGACCUCUGAGACCGGAGCUGCUCAGGUGAUGGAUGUCCGUCUUGCCCCACAUCGCUGGGGUCCACCGCUGGGAGGACGUUGGCAUCGAAUACAAGUGCUUCCACCAAGAGCUGUCUGCAAAGACGACUUGACCCCUCCGACAGACCAUCGCAUAUGCUCGUACCUCAACUGCCUGUCAAUAUUGCAAUAGUACAGAAGCCUAGCAAAGAGGAGGCUGAGAAGUCACAGAACUCAAGGUUUCGUGGUCCACCAAAAAAAGAAUAACUCUGUUGCAGCAGUCAUAAAAACAGGGUUAGAUGUGGUGUUGGGGACACAUCAGUUGUGUUACUUUGAAUCACACAUUGUUUUGCAACCAAUUGUAUUAUUAUUGCACUUGUUUUUUAUUUUUGUAAAUAAAUAUCACUUGUGCCAUUGACAUGGUAGUU